UUUAGUUUGGUUAAACAUACAGGUAAAGCACCACUGUACCUGAGGACGGCCAUUAAUGGAAAAUUUCUGCAAAUCUUAGCAUUAUCUGUUGGAUAGAGAUAUUCAUUAUCAACAGACGCAAUUUAACCAAGACAAGUAUAAUCUAACCGUUUUACGUUUGAUUUCAAUAAAUUCAAUCAGUAAAGGAGACUUCCCUUUUUUGACUGAGUGCAGCUACACCUGGAACUUCCAGAAGUCACGUUCACGAGGCAGUCAUGUAAUAAUGCUCGUUGAUAAUGGGUCGAAAGGGCAGUUUUCAUACAAACACGUCCCUUCUAUAUUGUCAACUUGGAUGACAUCGUUAACAAGCACAAGCACUGGGUGGAACUGAUGCCUCGUGUCAAACCCUUCUACG
Long non-coding RNA from Lingula anatina, 394 nucleotides. Lineage: Eukaryota; Metazoa; Brachiopoda; Lingulata; Lingulida; Lingulidae. The record is from RefSeq and is a predicted model, not a curated record.